Molecule: unclassified non-coding RNA, 312 nt
Filed under: Pseudomonas sp. URIL14HWK12:I9
Lineage: Bacteria; Pseudomonadati; Pseudomonadota; Gammaproteobacteria; Pseudomonadales; Pseudomonadaceae
Description: Long range pseudoknot
Source: RNAcentral
ACGGAAGAAGGGGAUUACCAGGUAAAACUGCGCAACCUGGUACGUUUCCUGAGUGAAGGGGACAAGGCCAAGAUCUCUCUGAGAUUCCGUGGCCGCGAAAUGGCUCACCAGGAGCUGGGCAUGGAGCUGUUGAAGCGGGUCGAAGCCGACCUCGUGGAAUACGGCGCCGUUGAACAGCAGCCCAAAAUGGAAGGGCGUCAACUGUUGAUGGUCAUCGCACCCAAACGCAAGAAAUAACCUCCAGGGCACGGCAGGCCUUGCGGUUAUCUUUAUCCAUAUGAAUGCGGAGUUUGAACAUGCCAAAGAUGAAAA